This 460-nucleotide ribosomal RNA is filed under the name uncultured bacterium. RNAcentral describes it as "partial 16S ribosomal RNA". It matches the Rfam family "Bacterial small subunit ribosomal RNA", at positions 338 to 795 of the family's 1533-position model. The record is from RNAcentral.
CCUACGGGUGGCAGCAGUGAGGAAUAUUGGUCAAUGGGCGGAAGCCUGAACCAGCCAAGUAGCGUGCAGGAUGACGGCCCUACGGGUUGUAAACUGCUUUUAUACGGGAAUAACGCGCCUUACGUGUAGGGCUUUGCAUGUACCGUAUGAAUAAGGACCGGCUAAUUCCGUGCCAGCAGCCGCGGUAAUACGGAAGGUCCGGGCGUUAUCCGGAUUUAUUGGGUUUAAAGGGAGCGUAGGCCGCAUGUCAAGCGUGCUGUGAAAUGUCCGGGCUCAACCCGGGCAUUGCAGGGGGAACUGGCAUGUUUGAGUACGGGAGAGGCAGGCGGAAUUCGUGGUGUAGCGGUGAAAUGAUUAGAUAUGACGAAGAACCCCGAUUGCGAAGGCAGCUUGCUGAACAGCAACUGACGCUGAUGCUCGAAAGCGCGGGUAUCGAACAGGAUUAGAUACCCUUGUAGUC